Balaenoptera musculus (blue whale) is the source of this 1928-nucleotide long non-coding RNA. RefSeq lists it as uncharacterized. NCBI's taxonomy places the organism in Eukaryota, Metazoa, Chordata, Mammalia, Artiodactyla, Balaenopteridae. The transcript is spliced from 3 exons. The record is from RefSeq and is a predicted model, not a curated record.
GGGAAGGAGGGCGGGCCCGGGAGGGGCGGUGGCCCCAGGGCGUGCGCGCGCCCGCAGCCUCCCGGGGGCGCGCGCGCACGCCGCGGCCGCUCCCCCGACUCGUGCCCCGGGCCGGAGACUCACGUUCUCUCGCGAGCCCGCGACCGCCGCCGGGCGCGCGCGGGGAGGGCUCGGCUGGGCGGGGUCUUGUGGUCACGUGACCUCCAUCGGGGCCGGGCGCCUCCGCCUGGGGCAGGCACCUGGGGAGCCGGACUUUCGGUUGCCCUUGAAUUGGCUGCACCCACUUAGGUGCGGAAGGGCUACUUCCGAGGGCCCGGGAGGCCGGAGACCAGGUCGCGGGCGCUGCCCUUUGGGCUCCGCAACCGCUCCCGCCGUUCUUACUCCUGGUUACUCCCCGCCGCCGGCUGUCACCUAAUUUCGAAGUCUUUGGUUCGAAGUUAUACAAACAGCGAGCGCGAGCUUGGAAAGUUUUUGGUGCAUUUUCUUAAAGUGGGUUCCUUGACAUCCUGCUCUCCCAAGCCCAGAACGGUGACCAGACGUCAUCCAUCCUCCCCCAGCCCCACCCGCAGCUCCCUUCGGCAUUCUCAGACCUUGCCGUUCCUCUGAGAUGUGCCAGGAGCGAUUGUUGAUGUUUCGUUGAUGUGGGUUCCCACCCGAGCUGCCGCGCUGAAAUCUGGACGGUAGCUGCCGGAGGGUGAGGUCAUGGUGAAAAUCCCCCUUCACCGGACACUGUGAUGCAGGCUCUUCCCUAGAAGGAAGCAGAUAAGCAAACAGACCGAGGACAAGAGCCGGCAAAUUUUAGGUUUCCUGCCAGAUUGCAGAGGAUAUGACCAGCCAAGGGACUUUUUUUCUAUCUUAAUAGCGGAUUCAGGCCAGGACACCUGAAGGGCUGCCAGGAGACAAGCGACAAGUGACAGCUGGCUUGGCAGACUGCAUCGCAAGGACCCCGGAAGCCAACUUCUUCUCUCUUAGUGUUCUAGUUUCAAGUGGAAAAAGGCAUUUGGGUCGGUCUCUGUUUAUGGCAGUGCAGCCCUAAUGCUCCUUGAUUGGGGCUUCUGGGGCUCAGAAACUUCUAUGUGUCAGGCACUGAGAUGAGAAAGAGGUCAGCAGUCUGAGAGGCUCAUGAACACGUUUAAAUUUAAAAAUCAGUGCUAAUCAGUUUACUGGCCGGGUUGGGUUAAUGGCUGAGGAGCCUCAUGACUCGGUAAAUUGGCUGCAGUAAACAAUACCUACAGUAGGAUUAUCUCCUGUUGUCCUGGCCAAGCCCACAGGGGUGGAUAAGCUACAAUAUACAAAGUAGGGUCGGUUCAACUCCAGUAUCUGUGGAUUGAUAGGGUCAGAAUCACUAGGCCGUGCCUUCAGGCAAAAUAGAUGGUAAAAGUCCACCCGGGAUGCAAGAUCUCUCUGUAGCCUCAGCUAGUGUUUGGGAAGCUCUGUUCUCCAACCAUGAAAGGACAGACCUCUGCCCAGGACAGGGGUAUAGCAUUGGCCCCCAAACACCCAUUUCUACCUGGACUUCAGAUGCUAAUUUGAAUUCUACAAAAGCAGGAAGAGAGAAGCCUAUCAGUUAGGGUCUGUUGACAACAACAGUGAGAAAAAUACAUGCAUAUUGGAGGUUGUCCCCCAAAUCUGAACUCUGAAGAAGGGCGGGGUUAAUUAGUUUUCACCAGCACCAGGAGUGUCAGGCAAGGAUCCAGCUGCCAUAUUGUGAGGACUCUCAAGCAGCCCCAUGCAGGGGUCCACGUGGGAAAGAACUGAGGCCACUGCCAACAGCCAGCGCCAACUUGCCAGCCUCGUGAGUGAGCCAUCUGAGAAGCAGAUCCUAGUCAAGCCCCAGGUAAUGGCUUGUCUGCAGCCUCUUGAGAGAUCCUGGGCUAGGACCAGGCAGCUAUAAGUGGCUGCCGAAUUCCUGACCCACAGAAACUAAU